RNAcentral lists this small RNA (24 nucleotides) under Arabidopsis thaliana (thale cress). Its description in RNAcentral is "ATSL078350". Lineage: Eukaryota; Viridiplantae; Streptophyta; Magnoliopsida; Brassicales; Brassicaceae. The record is from RNAcentral.
UGGUUUCUUCUUCUUCUUCUGAUC